RNAcentral lists this ribosomal RNA (232 nucleotides) under uncultured bacterium. RNAcentral's name for it is "partial 16S ribosomal RNA". It matches the Rfam family "Bacterial small subunit ribosomal RNA", at positions 115 to 334 of the family's 1533-position model. The record is from RNAcentral.
ACGUGGGUGACCUGCCUUCGAGUGGGGGAUAACGUCCCGAAAGGGACGCUAAUACCGCAUGACAUCCUGCUUUUGGAAAAGCGGAGAUCAAAGCUGGGGAUCGUAAGACCUGGCGCUUGAAGAGGGGCCCGCGCCUGAUUAGCUAGUUGGUGGGGUAACGGCCUACCAAGGCAACGAUCAGUAUCCGGCCUGAGAGGGCGGACGGACACACUGGGACUGAGACACGGCCCAG